Long non-coding RNA from Onychomys torridus (southern grasshopper mouse), 437 nucleotides. RefSeq lists it as uncharacterized. The transcript has 4 exons. NCBI's taxonomy places the organism in Eukaryota, Metazoa, Chordata, Mammalia, Rodentia, Cricetidae. The record is from RefSeq and is a predicted model, not a curated record.
CUGCCACGGCCAUACAGUUUAUAAACAAUUGUGAUACGGCACAAUGACUCUGUGAGGAAAGCCACUCAAGUGAUGAAAUCUGAGAGCAAGCGUUUUUUACAACCACAUACGUUGUUGGAACCAGACUGUCAACAGUUCAAGAGGCUGUUUCACUUACCCAAUCAGUCUAGUGGCACCAAGAACAGCCCCUUGUCCUCAUACAAGGGCCAUGGAAGAAGUGGAGAGUGACCCAGCAACCCAGGCCUGCAGUGACACCCAAGUGCUAUACAAGUCAUUUCCUCUGGCACUGUGGCACUCAUCAGUACAAUGAACGAGACCAACCCUGUCUGUAUUUAUAGACUGCACAGAAAGCCAUGUAAUCAUUCACUGGAAAAAAGACUGACUGCUGCAGAAGAUCAUGUGAGCCCUUGGAAAUGAGGUUGGAGAUCCUGAAAUGA